This 252-nucleotide ribosomal RNA is filed under the name uncultured bacterium. RNAcentral's name for it is "partial 16S ribosomal RNA". It matches the Rfam family "Bacterial small subunit ribosomal RNA", at positions 524 to 776 of the family's 1533-position model. The record is from RNAcentral.
UACGUAGGGGGCGAGCGUUGUCCGGAAUUACUGGGCGUAAAGGGUUCGCAGGCGGCAUGGCAAGUCCGAUGUAAAAGGCGAAAGCUCAACUUUCGUAAGCAUCGGAAACUGUCAAGCUUGAGUGCAGGAGAGGUAAGUGGAAUUCCUAGUGUAGCGGUGGAAUGCGUAGAUAUUAGGAGGAAUACCAGUGGCGAAGGCGACUUUCUGGCAAUCAUCAGACGCUGAGGUACGAAAGCGUGGGUAGCAAACAGG